UCAUACAUAAUGAACAUGAGAAGAAUAAGUUUCCCUAUAAACAACAUCAGAGGAGGUACUGAAGAUAAUAAUAAACUGUGAGCUUCAUUAAAACUUAGGAUGUGCAAAUUUAACGUGAGCAAAAUUAUGUGUUUCUUAUAAGGGAUAGGAAAAAGCCCCCAAAGAGAUAGAAAGAAUGCAGAAAUGAAAAGGAUAAUUGGGGAAAAGGCAAUCUAAAUACCAAGACCCUGGGAAAAGCGAGAAAGCCAUGCCCAUUCCAGGCCCUUGGACGAAGCAAAAAAGCCAGCAUCUUUUGUGAGUACCUAGUUUCAAAGGGAAGUUUACAUUGAACUAUGUAUCUGAUGUGUAAACAUCUCAUUAGUGAGGGGUACAUCACCACCAGCCAUGGGUGGUGAGAAUUCUUCAGGGUACCCCCAUCCUGCAACUGCCCCAGUUCAAAUCAGAUACCCCAGAGCUGCAACCAAGCUCAAGUUCCCAGCGCAGAACUAGAUGGAAGUGGGAAAUAGUCCUUGAAACUGGUGAAACAGCCCUUUCCAGGAAUAACGAACCCCGCAGCUUUACCAAAUAAGGCAAGUGAAAGCUAAAAGCCAAGGAGGAACAGGCUCAAGCUGUAUCUUUCCUAAAACUAGCCAGCUGGAUGAUAGAAAUGUCUCAGACAACGUGCCACCAGCCCAAAGAGCACAGACAUACUAAAGCAGAGGCAGCAGCUUCCCUGAAGCACGCACAGAGCUGGAAGAAGGAGAACACAUUCCAUACAUUUUUCUAGAAAGUCUAGUAUUGCUUUCACUUCCCUUGAGUCAUUUAGGUUUCUGAAAGCUAAUCAUCUCCCAGAAAAAAUCUAACAGAUGGUAAGACACUUUCACAGCCAUAAAGAGAUGUAUACAAAGGGUUAAGAGGCUUAGAAAGAAUACGUUGUCCAGUCAAUUGCUAGUCUGUUCCAGAAUGAAUCCUCUCUAUCCACUUCCUUUUCAUGCAACAUGGUCAACCACUCAUCAUCUUGGAUCUUUUUUUGUCCUUGAAGUGUGGAGCUGAUAACACAAAUCUCAGCAGAAUAGAGAAGCACACAAGACUAUGUCCAUCUUCACACCCACACCGGAGAACAGGCUGAGUGCAUACACAUGGACGCGUGGGGAGAAGAGGAGGUGACCAUCCGUCCCUUCACAGCAUGCUAACAAUUUUGUCAACUGGCUCCUCAACAUACUCAGGCUGGGGUGGCGGGGGUGGGGGAGGACAUUUUCCUACAGACACAGUAGGAACAUGGCCUCUAGGCAUUAAAUUAACCAGCGGUUUCUUUGGCAUGUUCGAACAAGUCUAGAACCCAAAGCGCAUAUGCUAAGGGGAGAGGAAAAUUGCCUACUUGAUAAAAAUAAGCGGUAUCUAACCUCUGAGCUCAGAGCUUGAUUUCUGAUGCCAGUUUGAUAAGACUGGCAAAUGCACUUCUUGGUAACAACACUGAGGCCAGUACGGGAGCACCGAGUAUUCAAGUCUCACACAUAGCAUGACUUAAGAAAUGACAGCAGCAUUAGGAAAUGUGCUAAAAUUUUUAAAGGCGUAACAACCCUGUCUUCUGGUUACCCUAACCUGUGAUCUGUUUAUUUCCAUUUUCCUUUUUAAAAAAAAAAAAUCCUAAAAAAAAAUAAAACUCACAAAAUC
Homo sapiens (human) is the source of this 1653-nucleotide long non-coding RNA. RefSeq lists it as uncharacterized. The transcript has 2 exons. The record is from RefSeq and is a predicted model, not a curated record. Lineage: Eukaryota; Metazoa; Chordata; Mammalia; Primates; Hominidae.